CAAUAGCGUAUAUUAAAGUUGUUGCAGUUAAAAAGCUCGUAGUUGGAUUUCGGGAUGGCCCGGCCGGUCUGCCGCAAGGUAUGUUACUGGCCGAGCUGUUCUUCUUCGCAAAGACUGUGUGUGCUCUUAACUGAGUGUGCUCAGGAUCUGUGACGUUUACUUUGAAAAAAUUAGAGUGUUCAAAGCAAGCCAGCGCUUGAAUACAUAAGCAUGGAAUAAUGGAAUAGGACUUUGGUUCUAUUUUGUUGGUUUCUGGAACCUUAGUAAUGAUUAAGAGAGACAGUUGGGGGCAUUCGUAUUUCGUUGUCAGAGGUGAGAUUCUUGGAUUUACGAAAGACGAACUACUGCGAAAGCAUUUGCCAAGAAUGUUUUCAUUAA
This 378-nucleotide ribosomal RNA is filed under the name uncultured eukaryote. Its description in RNAcentral is "partial 18S ribosomal RNA". It matches the Rfam family "Eukaryotic small subunit ribosomal RNA", at positions 592 to 976 of the family's 1831-position model. The record is from RNAcentral.